This 329-nucleotide unclassified non-coding RNA is filed under the name soil metagenome. RNAcentral's name for it is "partial contains 5.8S ribosomal RNA, internal transcribed spacer 2, and large subunit ribosomal RNA". The stretch from base 1 to 120 matches the Rfam family "5.8S ribosomal RNA", at positions 35 to 154 of the family's 154-position model. The record is from RNAcentral.
GAUGAAGAACGUAGCGAAAUGCGAUAAGUAAUGCGAAUUGCAGAAUUCCGUGAGUCAUCGAAUCUUUGAACGCACAUUGCGCCCCUUGGUAUCCCGAGGGGCAUGCCUGUUCGAGCGUCAUUUCACCACUCAAGCCUGGCUUGGUGUUGGGCGACGUCCCCUUUGGGGACGCGCCUCGAAACGCUCGGCGGCGUGGCACCGGCUUUAAGCGUAGCAGAAUCUUUCGCUUUGGAAGUCGGGGCCCCGUCUGCCGGAAGACCUACUCGCAAGGUUGACCUCGGAUCAGGCAGGGAUACCCGCUGAACUUAAGCAUAUCAAUAAGCGGAGGA